CCAAACUUUUAUCGUUUUUAUUGAACUAAUCAUAUCAGAGACUGUGUUUAAAAUGGAGUAAACAUCACUGCUGUCGUGCUUAGAUUUUUUUAUCGUGAGUUAUGUUUACCUCACGUGAUCUGCUAACUGUCAAGCGGUUGGUCGUCUUUUCAUCACUUAUGCAGUUGUCAUGUCGCAUUUCUACACUUGUUAAUGAUGGCCUUUGCCAAAUGUUUACAGUAUGGAUCGUGAAUUUAGAAAUUUAUUGAAGAAAAUUUACUUCAGUAACUUGUUUAAGUGCUAAUCUUUAUUCGGAGCAGAUCGGAAUGAGACACUUGCCCUAUAUUAUAUGGUGUGUGAAUUUAAGGAGGCACACACAGUUAGCUUUCACCUUUUAUUAAUGUUUUAAAUCUGGAUUUUGUUGGCUGCGUUGUCACAUUGUUGGUUGAAAAAGAUCUUCCACGCUUUAUCUCAGUUGGCUCUGUAUGUCAAAAACCUUGCGUCCCUUUGUGAUGGGUUUGUGGUUUGUCCUGGGUGGUGACCAUUGUUCUUGGCAAAAAUCCUCCAGUAUUUGCUCGAGUUGCAUGAACUUCACGUUUUUUCUUAACAACAGUGGUUAGAGUAUGUCGAGGUCCAGCUUUACUGACUUUAGGAUGAAUUAGGGAUUAACUAUCACUGAAGGAUGCACUUGAUGAGGCACCAUGUAAUGUUAUAAAAGUGUUUUAGGAUUAUAUUUAACCUGCAGUAAAGACCACAUUAAAUUGACUAUUGUAAUGCAUACAUUUGGCAUAAUCUGCAAAAAGAGGACUUAUGAUAAACCUUUGAGACUACAUUUUAUUUUGUUAUUAAUUUGGUUAUUAUAUUAAGGAAAUAUCAUAUUCAUAAAUGUCGGCGGUUUCCCGGACAGGGAUUAGACUAGUCCUAGACUAAAAUAAAUGUAAGAGCUGUCAAAACUGAAAACAUCUUGCAUCUUAAAAUACAUCAGUGCCCUUUGUUUUGUAAUGUUUUAGUAAGACAUGUUUGUUAAAACUAGUUAUAUUUUUUAAUUAAACCUAGUCCUGGUUUAAGCUAAUCCCUGUCCGGUAAACCACCCCCCUUGUUUUUUACAAUUUAAAUUGGAGUUAUGUCUUAAAGUAAUGGAAUGUGUAAGGAACUCUAAAUCAGUGGUUCUCAACUCCAGUCCUCUGGACCCGCUGCUCUGCACAUUUUGGAUGUCUCUUAUAUCUGACACAUUCAGUUCAGUUCAUGGAAUCUAUCCUAACGAGCUGAUGAUCUGAAUCAGGUGUGUUAAAUAAGGGAGACAUGUGCUGCGUCCGAAACCACCUACUACAUACUAUAUAGUACGCGAAAAGCAGUAGGCGAGGCGAGUAGUAUGUCCGAAUACAUAGUAUUUGAAAAACAGUAUGCGAAAAGUACCCGGAUGACCUACUACUUCCGGUUAGAUUUUGCAGUGUGCAUACGAUGGACGCUUCACUAUCCCAUGAUGCCCCGGACGAGGAGUUAUCCAACGAAGAAGAGGCACGCGGCUGUUUUCGCGCUGAAAUGACAUGACGUGAUGACGACGUAUGUCACGUGAUGUGGCAACAUGGCGGAUGUAGUACGUCCGAAUCUCAUUCAUACUACCAGGAUUCAUACUAUACAGUACCUACUGUUUUAACGCCAAGUAAGUAGGUACUUCAUCUAAUUCAGUACCUACUAUACAGUAUGCGGUUUCGGAUGCAGCCAUGCACAAUAUGCAGAGCAGUGGGUCCCGAGGACUGGAGUUGAGAACCACUGCUCUAAAUCAAAAAAGCCUAUAGAGGGUAUGCAUUGACGUCACUUUUCCACGUGACCACGCCGGAGCUCGCCCAAUUGCUUAAUCAAAUGGAUGAAUGAAAGACAGCUUUUAAAUAUCGUGAAGUUUUCUAGCUAAAAAUUGCACAUGAAUGCCUUCUGAUGUCCUUUUCACCUUUUCAGAGCCUGCUCACGUCAUGCCUGCCAAGCCAGAGCCAGCUCGGUGCCGGCCAAUCCAGACCCUGUUCAGUGCCUGCCAAGCCACAGCCUGCUCAGUGCCUGCCAAGACAGAGCCUGCUCUGUGCCCACCAUGUCAGAGCCUGCUCUGUGCCUGCCAAGCCUGAGCCUGCUCAGUGCCUGACAAGCUAAAGCCUGCUCAGUGCCUGACAAGCUAAAGCCUGCUCUGUGCCUGCCAUGCCAGAACCUGCUCAGUGCCUGCCAAGCCAGAGCCUGCUAAGUUACUGCCAUGCCAGAGCCAGGGCCUGCUCAGUGCCUGCUAAGCCAGAGUUUGCUCAGUGCCUACCAAGCCAGAACCAUCUCAGUGCAUACCAAGCCAGAGCCUUCCCAAUGCCUGCCAAGCCAGAGCCUGCUCAGUGCCUGCCAAGCCAGAGCCUGCUCAGUGCCUGCCAAGCCAGAGCCUGCUCAGUGCAUGCAAAGCCAGAGCCUGCUCAGUGUCUGCAAAGCCUGGGCCUGUGCCUGCCAGAGCCUGUCCAGUGGCUGCUUUGCCAAGCCAGAGCCUGCUCACGUCAUGCCUGCCAAGCCAGAGGCUGCUCACAUCAUGCCUGCACAGCCAGAGCCUGUUCACCUUUUGCCUGCCAAGCCUACUUACUAAAGGUAAAAAAGGUGCAAGGUAAGUGAAGGUAAAAAUGGUGCAAGGUAAGUGAAGGUAAAAAAAGGUGCGAGGUAAGUGAAGGUAAAAAUGGUGCAAGGUAAGUGAAGGUAAAAAAGGUGCAAGGUAAGUGAAGGUAAAAAUGGUGCAAGGUAAGUGAAGGUAAAAAAGGUGCGAGGUAAGUGAAGGUAAAAAAGGUGCAAGGUAAGUGAAGGGUAAAAAGGUGCGAGGUAAGUGAAGGUAUAAAAACAAAAAAGGUGCGAGGUAAGUGAAGGUAUAAAAACAAAAAGGUGCGGGGUAAGUGAAGGUAACAAAAAAAGGUGCGAGGUAAGUGAAGGUAUCAAAUAAAGGUGCGAGGUAAGUGAAGGUAUAAAAAAGGUGCGAGGUAAGUGAAGGUAUAAAAAACAAACUAAAACAAAACAAACAAAAAGGUGCGAGGUAAGUGAAGGUAAAAAACAAAAAGGUGCGAGGUAAGUGAAGGUAACAAAAAAGGUGCAAGGUAAGUGAAGGUAUAAAAACAAAAAGGUGCGGGGUAAGUGAAGGUAACAAAAAAAGGUGCGAGGUAAGUGAAGGUAUAAAAAAGUUGCGAGGUAAGUGAAGGUAUAAAAAAACAAAAAAAGGUGCGAGGUAAGUGAAGGUAUAAAAAACAAAAAAAAGUGCGAGGUAAGUGAAGGUAACAAAACAAACUAAAACAAAACAAACAAAAAGGUGCGAGGUAAGUGAAGGUAACAAAAAAACAAAAAGGUGCGAGGUAAGUUAAGGUAUAAAAACAAAAAAAGGUGCGAGGUAAGUGAAGGUAUAAAAAAACAAACAAAAAGGUGCGAGGUAAGUGAAGGUAACAAAAAAAGGUGUGAGGUAAGUGAAGGUAUCAAAAAAAGGUGCGAGGUAAGUGAAGGUAUAAAAAACAAAAAAAGGUGCGAGGUAAGUGAAGGUAUAAAAAAGGUGUGAGGUAAGUGAAGGUAUAAAAAAGGUGCAAGGUAAGUAAAGGUAUAAAAA
This is a non-coding RNA of Misgurnus anguillicaudatus (oriental weatherfish), 3577 nucleotides long. The record is from RefSeq and is a predicted model, not a curated record. NCBI's taxonomy places the organism in Eukaryota, Metazoa, Chordata, Actinopteri, Cypriniformes, Cobitidae.